RNAcentral lists this ribosomal RNA (775 nucleotides) under uncultured Neocallimastigales. RNAcentral's name for it is "partial large subunit ribosomal RNA". It matches the Rfam family "Eukaryotic large subunit ribosomal RNA", at positions 26 to 614 of the family's 3401-position model. Lineage: Eukaryota; Fungi; Neocallimastigomycota; Neocallimastigomycetes; Neocallimastigales. The record is from RNAcentral.
CGCAUCUGUGCAUGCAGUAUAUCAAUAAGCGGAGGAAAAGAAACUAACAAGGAUUCCCCUAGUAACGGCGAGUGAAGCGGGAAGAGCUCAAAUUUGAAAUCUUAAAGGGUUUCCCUUUACGAAUUGUAGUUUAAAGAAGUGUUUUCUGUUGAGGUUUUGGUAAAAGUUCUUUGGAAUAGGACAUCAUAGAGGGUGAGAAUCCCGUAUUUGACCUUUACUUUCAACUUUGUGAUACACUUUCAAAGAGUCGGAUUGUUUGGGAAUGCAGUCCAAAAUGGGUGGUAAAUUUCAUCUAAAGCUAAAUAUUGGCGAGAGACCGAUAGCGAACAAGUACCGUGAGGGAAAGAUGAAAAGAACUUUGAAAAGAGAGUUAAACAGUACGUGAAAUUGUCAAAAGGGAAGCGUUUGACACCAGUGUUGUUUUUCUGAAAAUCAAUUAAAGAACUGUUUAUGCUAAGUUGUUUAGACUUUAUCAGCUAACUGUUUAGUCUUGAGCUUUUCUUUAAUGCACUUUUCAGUUAACAAGUCAACAUCAACUUUCUUUUGCUGUAAAAAAGCUUGAGGAAGGUGGCUUGAGAUUCGUCUUAAGUGUUUAUAGCCUCUUGCCUAUGCAGUCGGAGAGAUUGAGGUCUGCAGCGUAGAUCCUUCGGGGCUAAAUGCAUUUGUGCUAAGUUAUAGCAUUUUAUAGACAACUUGUUGACUAUGAUUUGUCUUGUAGCUUACUCGCUUAUGUUAUUUUACCUACGCUUAGGAUGUUGAACGCGCACAGAGUCUC